This 239-nucleotide long non-coding RNA is filed under the name Gossypium barbadense (sea-island cotton). RNAcentral describes it as "long non-coding RNA (GBAR_LNC003183)". The record is from RNAcentral. Lineage: Eukaryota; Viridiplantae; Streptophyta; Magnoliopsida; Malvales; Malvaceae.
GCAUGUAUAGGGACUUUGGUCAUGUUGGUUAUCUUUUGGUUAUGAUUUUGACCAUUUGAAUUGGGUUGUAAAUGUCUAAGGUUUGGUUUGUAUAUUUGGCCAUGUGAGUUGGCUUAUUUUGGUUGAUGUUGGUUAUGUUAUAUGUAUACAAAUGACUUAUGUUGUGUGAUUAAGGUUGGAAUCAUGGUGCUUAUUGAUAAUAGGUGAUUUGAAUGUCAAUUGGUUGAUAAUUGGGAAGU